AACGAGACAGGAGUCUCGACUACUGUCGCCGCGACAUAGUUAAGGCCUAACCACUGUCCAAUCCGCAUAACCAGGUGCACGGAUUCCGUCGUGGAACAAUCGGAGAUCGACGAAGGAACGGAUAUAUUAUAGCGCAAAAAGCUGACUAAUCGGUCAGCUCCGGAACUAGAAUCGUUCUCUCAUGGACGACGGUGACUAAUCCCAUUUCUUUGACUAAGCUGUACGCCAUCACCUGCACACGAUCCACUCGGUGCGGUGGCUGGAAUUCUUCGUACGUUUGCUGUCGUCGCACCGGGACACACCGGGGCCCAGGUUGACUCAAACCGCGUCGCUCUUUCAUUUAGAUGCUGCUAAAACCUGCAGGCUCGUGAGAUUACUUUUUAUGACUCUGACGACGCUGAAAUAAAUUUACAACAAUUCUGCGAUUCUGAAAAUAAGCGAGUGCAGCCACAGAAACCAUAUGGAGGGCUGAGAAUGAUAAUGGUAUAAUUCAGUUCACUGCUAGUGCUUAUAUAAUGAUAUUCCGCGCCUAUUGUUACGAAAGAUUGAUCAUUAAGUUGCGACUUAAUUAAACAUUACGCUAAAGAGAUAAUACAUGUAGAAGUUAAAAUA
Long non-coding RNA from Bombus huntii, 612 nucleotides. RefSeq lists it as uncharacterized. The record is from RefSeq and is a predicted model, not a curated record. The transcript is spliced from 2 exons. NCBI's taxonomy places the organism in Eukaryota, Metazoa, Arthropoda, Insecta, Hymenoptera, Apidae.